GACGAACGCUGGCGGCGUGCUUAACACAUGCCAGUCGAACGGAAAGGCCCUGCUUUUGUGGGGUGCUCGAGUGGCGAACGGGUGAGUAACACGUGAGUAACCUGCCCUUGACUUUGGGAUAACUUCAGGAAACUGGGGCUAAUCCCGGAUAGGAGCUCCUGCUGCAUGGUGGGGGUUGGAACGUUUCGGCGGUUGGGGAUGGACUCGCGGGUUAUCAGCUUGUUGGUGGGGUAGUGGCUUACCCAGGCUUUGACGGGUAGCCGGCCUGGGAGGGUGACCGGCCACAUUGGGACUGAGAUACGGCCCAGACUCCUACGGGAGGCAGCAGUGGGGAAUAUUGCACAAUGGGCGGAAGCCUGAUGCAGCAACGCCGCGUGCGGGAUGACGGCCUUCGGGUUGUAAACCGCUUUCGCCUGUGACGAAGCGUGAGUGACGGUAAUGGGUAAAGAAGCACCGGCUAACUACGUG
RNAcentral lists this ribosomal RNA (468 nucleotides) under uncultured bacterium. RNAcentral's name for it is "partial 16S ribosomal RNA". It matches the Rfam family "Bacterial small subunit ribosomal RNA", at positions 28 to 507 of the family's 1533-position model. The record is from RNAcentral.